RNAcentral lists this ribosomal RNA (827 nucleotides) under uncultured organism. RNAcentral describes it as "bacterial SSU rRNA". It matches the Rfam family "Bacterial small subunit ribosomal RNA", at positions 13 to 791 of the family's 1533-position model. The record is from RNAcentral.
UUGACCCUGGCUCUCUGACGAACGCUAGGCGGCGUGGAUUAGGCAUGCAAGUCGAACGGUUUUGAACAUCAUCUUAUCCGGCUUGCCGGAUAAGACGUUCAGAAUAGUGGCGAAAGGGUGAGUAAUGCAAGGGUAACAUGCCCUUAAGCUGGGGAUAACUCCGAGAAAUCGGUGCUAAUACCGAAUGUGGUCCUUUGAUGGAAUCAUUAGAGGACUAAAGAUGGGGACCCUUCGGGGCCUUUCGCUUAAGGAGUGGCUCUUGUCCUAUUAGCCUGUUGGUGGGGUAACGGCUCACCAAAGCAAUAAUGGGUAGCUGGUCUGAGAGGAUGAUCAGCCACACUGGGACUGAGACACUGCCCAGACUCCUACGGGAGGCUGCAGUCGAGAAUCUUUCGCAAUGGGGGAAACCCUGACGAAGCGACGCCGCGUGGAGGAUGAAGGCCCUCGGGUUGUAAACUCCUGUCACUUGGGAUGAAAAGUGGGGCCAUUAAUACCGGUUCUGCCUGACAGUACCUUGAAAGGAAGCUCCGGCUAACUACGUGCCAGCAGCCGCGGUAAUACGUAGGGAGCAAGCGUUGUUCGGAUUUACUGGGCGUAAAGGGUGUGUAGGUUGCUUGGUAAGUCAGUUGUGAAAUCCUUACUGCUCAACAGAAGAAUUGCAAUUGAUACUACCAGGCUAGAGUUCGGUAGAGGAGAGCGGAAUUCUCGGUGUAGCGGUGAAAUGCGUAGAUAUCGAGAAGAACACCAGUGGCGUAGGCGGCUCUCUAGCCCGACACUGACACUGAAACACGAAAGCGUGGGUAGCGAACGGGAUUAGAUACCCCGGU